CUUUACUGUAACCUGGAAUUGGGUUCGGGCUUUGCUUGCGCAGGAUAGGUGGGAGACUAUGAAGCUGCCCUUGUGGGGGCAGUGGAGUCAUCAGUGAGAUACCACUCUGCCAAGGCUAGAAUUCUAACCGUCUGCCGUUAUCCGGCGACGGAACAGUAUCAGGUGGGCAGUUUGACUGGGGCGGUCGCCUCCUAAAUGGUAACGGAGGCGCGCAAAGGUUCCCUCAGGCUGGUUGGAAAUCAGCCGAAGAGUGUAAAGGCAGAAGGGAGCUUGACUGCAAGGGCAACAACUCAAGCAGGGACGAAAGUCGGCCUUAGUGAUCCGACGGCGCUGAGUGGAAGGGCCGUCGCUAAACGGAUAAAAGUUA
RNAcentral lists this ribosomal RNA (367 nucleotides) under uncultured organism. RNAcentral describes it as "bacterial LSU rRNA". It matches the Rfam family "Bacterial large subunit ribosomal RNA", at positions 2099 to 2465 of the family's 2925-position model. The record is from RNAcentral.